GAACGCGAAGAACCUUACCAGGUCUUGACAUUGAUGGACGAAACAAGAGAUUGUUUUUCUCCUUCGGGAGCCAGAAAACAGGUGGUGCACGGCUGUCGUCAGCUCGUGUCGCGAGAUGUUGGGUUAAGUCCCGCAACGAGCGCAACCCCUAUCUUAUGUUGCCAGCACUUCGGGUGGGAACUCAUGAGAGACUGCCGCAGACAAUGCGGAGGAAGGCGGGGAUGACGUCAAGUCAUCAUGCCCCUUAUGACCUGGGCUACACACGUACUACAAUGGGCUUUAAUAGAGGGAAGCGAAGCCGCGAGGUGGAGCAAACCCCAGAAACAAGCUCUCAGUUCGGAUCGUAGGCUGCAACUCGCCUACGUGAAGUCGGAAUCGCUAGUAAUCGCAGGUCAGCAUACUGCGGUGAAUACGUUCCCGGGUCUUGUACACACC
This 435-nucleotide ribosomal RNA is filed under the name uncultured bacterium. RNAcentral describes it as "bacterial SSU rRNA". It matches the Rfam family "Bacterial small subunit ribosomal RNA", at positions 957 to 1391 of the family's 1533-position model. The record is from RNAcentral.